GAUGAACGCUGGCGGCGUGCUUAACACAUGCAAGUCGAACGGAAAGGCCCAAGCUUGCUUGGGUACUCGGGUGGCGAACGGGUGAGUAACACGUGGGUGAUCUGCCCUGCACUUCGGGAUAAGCCUGGGAAACUGGGUCUAAUACCGGAUAGGACCACAUUUUGGAUGGUGUGGUGGAAAGUUUUUCGGUGUGGGAUGAGCUCGCGGCCUAUCAGCUUGUUGGUGGGGUAAUGGCCUACCAAGGCGUCGACGGGUAGCCGGCCUGAGAGGGUGUACGGCCACAUUGGGACUGAGAUACGGCCCAGACUCCUACGGGAGGCAGCAGUGGGGAAUAUUGCACAAUGGGCGCAAGCCUGAUGCAGCGACGCCGCGUGGGGGAUGACGGCCUUCGGGUUGUAAACUCCUUUCGCUAGGGACGAAGCGUUUUUGUGACGGUACCUGGAGAAGAAGCACCGGCUAACUACGUG
This 467-nucleotide ribosomal RNA is filed under the name uncultured bacterium. RNAcentral describes it as "partial 16S ribosomal RNA". It matches the Rfam family "Bacterial small subunit ribosomal RNA", at positions 28 to 507 of the family's 1533-position model. The record is from RNAcentral.